AGUGUGAGGGAAGGGACAAUAUUGGGAGAACGACGAUAUGGGCGCCAGGAGGCACUAUGGAGACCGAGGAGGAGCAGCCGAAGCUAAGCUGGCAGCCAGAGUGGAUACCCUUGCCUAGAAGGUAUUUAUGGGACUCAAACUUGUUCUCUUUUUG
RNAcentral lists this long non-coding RNA (154 nucleotides) under Saimiri boliviensis boliviensis (Bolivian squirrel monkey). RNAcentral's name for it is "lncRNA (ENSSBOG00000036513.1)". The record is from RNAcentral. Lineage: Eukaryota; Metazoa; Chordata; Mammalia; Primates; Cebidae.